This 72-nucleotide transfer RNA is filed under the name Candidatus Levybacteria bacterium CG2_30_37_29. Its description in RNAcentral is "tRNA-Cys". It matches the Rfam family "tRNA". Rfam says of the family: Transfer RNA (tRNA) molecules are approximately 80 nucleotides in length. Their secondary structure includes four short double-helical elements and three loops (D, anti-codon, and T loops). Further hydrogen bonds mediate the characteristic L-shaped molecular structure. tRNAs have two regions of fundamental functional importance: the anti-codon, which is responsible for specific mRNA codon recognition, and the 3' end, to which the tRNAs corresponding amino acid is attached (by aminoacyl-tRNA synthetases). tRNAs cope with the degeneracy of the genetic code in two manners: having more than one tRNA (with a specific anti-codon) for a particular amino acid; and 'wobble' base-pairing, i.e. permitting non-standard base-pairing at the 3rd anti-codon position. RNAcentral also lists the same sequence under 1 other name. The record is from RNAcentral. Lineage: Bacteria; Candidatus Levyibacteriota.
GGUGCGAUGGCGAAGUGGUAACGCGGCGGUCUGCAAAACCGCUAUGCACGGGUUCGAAUCCCGUUCGCACCU